RNAcentral lists this ribosomal RNA (253 nucleotides) under uncultured bacterium. RNAcentral's name for it is "partial 16S ribosomal RNA". It matches the Rfam family "Bacterial small subunit ribosomal RNA", at positions 524 to 776 of the family's 1533-position model. The record is from RNAcentral.
UACGAAGGGGGCUAGCGUUGCUCGGAAUCACUGGGCGUAAAGCGCACGUAGGCGGAUUUCUAAGUCAGGGGUGAAAUCCUGGAGCUCAACUCCAGAACUGCCUUUGAUACUGAAGAUCUUGAGUUCGGGAGAGGUAAGUGGAACUGCGAGUGUAGAGGUGAAAUUCGUAGAUAUUCGCAAGAACACCAGUGGCGAAGGCGGCUCACUGGCCCGAUACUGACGCUGAGGCACGAAAGCGUGGGGAGCAAACAGG